CACGUAGGGUGCGAGCGUUGUCCGGAAUUAUUGGGCGUAAAGGGCUCGUAGGCGGUUUGUCGCGUCGGGAGUGAAAACCUUGGGCUUAACUCAGGGCUUGCUUUCGAUACGGGCAGACUAGAGGUAUGCAGGGGAGAAUGGAAUUCCCGGUGUAGCGGUGAAAUGCGCAGAUAUCGGGAGGAACACCGGUGGCGAAGGCGGUUCUCUGGGCCUUACCUGACGCUGAGGAGCGAAAGCGUGGGGAGCGAACAGG
RNAcentral lists this ribosomal RNA (253 nucleotides) under uncultured bacterium. RNAcentral describes it as "partial 16S ribosomal RNA". It matches the Rfam family "Bacterial small subunit ribosomal RNA", at positions 524 to 776 of the family's 1533-position model. The record is from RNAcentral.